This 425-nucleotide ribosomal RNA is filed under the name uncultured bacterium. Its description in RNAcentral is "partial 16S ribosomal RNA". It matches the Rfam family "Bacterial small subunit ribosomal RNA", at positions 354 to 796 of the family's 1533-position model. The record is from RNAcentral.
GUGGGGAAUAUUGGACAAUGGGCGCAAGCCUGAUCCAGCCAUGCCGCGUGAGUGAUGAAGGCCUUAGGGUUGUAAAGCUCUUUCAGUGGGGACGAUAAUGACGGUACCCACAGAAGAAGCCCCGGCUAACUUCGUGCCAGCAGCCGCGGUAAUACGAAGGGGGCUAGCGUUGUUCGGAUUUACUGGGCGUAAAGCGCACGUAGGCGGAUCGUUAAGUCGGGGGUGAAAUCCUGGAGCUCAACUCCAGAACUGCCUUCGAUACUGGCGAUCUUGAGUCCGGAAGAGGUGAGUGGAACUCCUAGUGUAGAGGUGGAAUUCGUAGAUAUUCGGAGGAACACCAGUGGCGAAGGCGGCUCACUGGCUCGAUACUGACGCUGAGGUGCGAAAGCGUGGGGAGCAAACAGGAUUAGAAACACUGGUAGUCC